AUUGAACGCUGGCGGCAGGACUAACACAUGCAAGUCGAACGAGUGGCGGACGGGUGAGUAAUGUCUGGGAACCUGCCUGAUGGAGGGGGAUAACUACUGGAAACGGUAGCUAAUACCGCAUACCAUCAGAUGGGCACAGAGUGGAUUAGCUAGUUGUUGGGGAAACGGCUCACCAAGGCGACGAUCCCUAGCUGGUCUGAGAGGAUGACCAGCCAAACUGGAACGGAGACACGGUCCAGCCUCCUACGUGAGGUAGCAGUGGGUAAUAUUGCACAAGGGGCGCAAGCCUGAUGCAGCCAUGCCGCGUGUAUGAAGAAGGCCUUCGGUGUGUAAAGUACUUCAGCGGGGAGGCGUUACCCGCAGAAGAAGCACCGGCUAACUCCGUGCCAGCAGCCGCGGUAAUAC
RNAcentral lists this ribosomal RNA (405 nucleotides) under uncultured bacterium. RNAcentral's name for it is "partial 16S ribosomal RNA". It matches the Rfam family "Bacterial small subunit ribosomal RNA", at positions 30 to 526 of the family's 1533-position model. The record is from RNAcentral.